AGAAUGAACGCUGGCGGCGUGCUUUACACAUGCAAGUCGAGCGAGGCGUGUAGCAAUACACAGUCGAGCGGCGAACGGGUGAGUAACGCGUGGAUUAUCUGCCCUGAGGUGGGGGGAUAACCCGGGGGAAACUCGGGCUAAUACCGCAUAUGACCGGAAGGUCGAAAGGGGGGUCGCAAGAUCUCUCGCCUUUGGAGGAGUCCGCGUUCGAUUAGCUAGUUGGUAGGGUAAUGGCCUACCAAGGCGACGAUCGAUAGCCGGCCUGAGAGGGUGAGUCGGCCGACACUAGGAACUGAGACUACGGCCAGACUCGUACGGGAGGCGAGCAGGUAGGGUAAUUUGCGACGAAGUGGGACUAACGGCCUAGAC
This 369-nucleotide ribosomal RNA is filed under the name uncultured soil bacterium. RNAcentral's name for it is "bacterial SSU rRNA". It matches the Rfam family "Bacterial small subunit ribosomal RNA", at positions 26 to 387 of the family's 1533-position model. The record is from RNAcentral.